RNAcentral lists this ribosomal RNA (253 nucleotides) under uncultured bacterium. Its description in RNAcentral is "partial 16S ribosomal RNA". It matches the Rfam family "Bacterial small subunit ribosomal RNA", at positions 524 to 776 of the family's 1533-position model. The record is from RNAcentral.
CACGGAGGGGGCAAGCGUUAUUCGGACUCACUGGGCGUAAAGAGCGCGUAGGCGGUCUCUUAAGUCAGAUGUGAAAGCCCGGGGCUUAACCCCGGAAGUGCAUUUGAAACUAAGGGACUUGAGUAUGGGAGAGGGAAGUGGAAUUCCUGGUGUAGCGGUGAAAUGCGUAGAUAUCAGGAGGAACACCGGAGGCGAUGGCGACUUCCUGGACCAAUACUGACGCUGAGGCGCGAAGGCGUGUGGAGCAAGCAGG